Molecule: non-coding RNA, 2310 nt
Organism: Zonotrichia albicollis (white-throated sparrow)
Lineage: Eukaryota; Metazoa; Chordata; Aves; Passeriformes; Passerellidae
Source: RefSeq, a predicted model, not a curated record
AUGUUACUCUGUAUGGGCAGGCAUGUGAAGCCUUCUGAUGAGUAUGGACACAAACCAUCUCUGUGGCUGAAUAAAUGAACCAUAAAAUGAAUUUUUUUUGCCUGCUGUGCUGGACCUGCCCCAUGUUCAGCUAGGCUGAAGUCCUCAGAGUGGUCUGUGUCUGCAAGCACACACCUCCCUGAGUGCUCUGAGAAAGCUGAAUGUAUUUAUAGGAAAACAGGGCAGGAACCCACAGUGCAUGCUGGCUAUGCAAAAUGAGUGCGACUGCAUGGGGCAGGGAGACAGAGCCAGUGACAGCAGCCCUGUCACAGCACACUGCUGGGCAGAGGCAAGACCCCUCUGCUCUCUGGAGAGAGGAAAAUCACUGCUCCCUGAAACCUGAUCUGCUGCCUUUCAGCAUAGGUACUUCAGUGCAGGGGCUGUGCAGCCAAAGGCAGGGCAUGGACAUUGUGAUACUCCUGUCACCCACAUGCCAGAUUCACAUACCCCAGCUGUCCAUGCAAAACUGGACUGGUUUUGUCUGGGUGAUCCUUCCAGCGUGUCAGUGAGGCAGGACUGAAUGCACUGAAUAUUCUGGGUUUGUUUUCACUUGAUUAUGAUCCAUUUUGGUAAGUGUCCAGGGGUUUGAUUUAAUACAGUGAAUCUGAAACCUGGGCAAUGCCUCUGCUCUUCACUCCAGCACAUAAUACUUCCUGGCUUUGAUCUUUUGCAGUGGGUUUUAUAUCUGCUGCAAUUUGUUGGGAAUGGCUUCUGUAAGUGUCCUUUUUAUGCAUCCAUUACCUGUGUGCAAGCUGGUCUGUCUCAGUUCAGCACUCCUGCAAAGCCAGUGCUUGCAUGCAGCAACUGCAGCAUUAUGUUGUCCCUGAUGUUUCAGCCCAUGUGAAAACACUUCAUUUCCAAGUUGCCUUUUAGCUCUGGCUCUUCAUGUGGUGAUUUGGGUUCUUUGCUUCUUUAGUUCUGGUUUUGUCACCCCACUUCCGACAGGCAGCCAUGUGCACUGGAUGGAAGUGGGAAAGCACAGCUUGCACAAUCUGUAGCUCCUGGGUGUCCAUGGCACCUUACCCCAGAGUCCAGGGGUUCAUCCCAUGCCGAAUGAGCUGUGGUGAUUUUUUCUGCUCAGCUUGCUCCUUCCCAAACCAACCAUGAGACAUGAAACCCCUGUCAUGGCAAGCCAGGAGCCAUGUGGCUUUGGCCAGCCCUCAUCCACAGGGGAUUUGGGCGCUUGUUUUGUAGAGUGAAGUGAGGACAAAAGAAAGCCCAGGGGCCCUGAGCAGCCCAGUUCUGGGCAGGAGAGCUGAAGGAAAGGGUUUGUUCUGCAGAAACCUGAACUCUCAAAGCAGCAAGGAUUACACUGGUUUUUUUCUCAGGAUGUAAUUAAAUCUUCCUCAUUUGUGCAAGCUAGAGUGGAGAGAAUUGUAUUUAUUUUAAAGAUUGGAAGUGCAGAGGAUUGUGUGGCUGUACCCUGUCCUUUUUGCUGCCAUCAUCUGGAUGCCUUUAAGUAAGCCUAGGAGCAAGGCCCAGAGACCACCAAGUACUUGGGUUUUUGGACACUACUGGAAUGUCAUUUUAAAUAGCACAAAGGGGCUCUGCAGGGAGGUGGUGAAUCUGCAACAUGGGGCAGGGCUGGAGGGCCCUCAGCUAGCUCAGGAAUUGCUGUGGCUCAUGAGACACUUGACUUCCCUGAAGGAAGAUGAAGAACUUGCCCCAAGACCAGCUCAGUGACUUUGUCCCCACAAGCAAGAGCUUUGCACCAUAUUAAGCCGUUUCUGGCCAAGUCUGGAUCUAAAUGGGGUGUCCCAGCCAGGGGGAAGGCUCCCCUGCCUCCAGGAAGCCUACUGCCCUCCCAACAUGAUGGUCAAAACCACAGUGUGCAGGCAGGGAAAGGAGAUGUCCAUCAGUGCUGGGUUCAGGAUAAGGAUAGCACCCCAGGGUGCUCUCUUGUGUCACUGCUGAACCAAAAGGGGCAGGUGCUGGGGUCCCUGACCUGAGGCUUUCACUGUUUCUAACCUUGCUCUUCUAACUCCUCUUCCUUUUCCCUACCAAGUGCUCAGGACUCAAUACUGUCUGAGAUGCAGCAGCAUGCUGUAGCUGUGUGCCACACAAUUUGUCCCAGCCUUUGCCACUGGUGGCAGCAGGAAGAGGGUUUUUUUCUGUGACAGGAGGGAGCCUGAGACCCCUGAAUGUGCUCACAGGUGGACAAAGCACAGCUCUGCCUGAACCACAACAGUUGGUAGGGCUGAGGAAAAAGAAGUCCAUGGAAACAAACUUCAUGGACAAAUAUGAAGUUCUGGGGAGUGGUGGGCAACAGCC